UAUCUCUGUAGAGUCUGCAUAUCAAUAAGCGGAGGAAAAGAAACUAACAAGGAUUCCCCUAGUAACGGCGAGUGAAGCGGGAAGAGCUCAAAUUUGAAAUCUUAAAGGGUUUCCCUUUACGAAUUGUAGUUUAAAGAAGUGUUUUCUGUUGAGGUUUUGGUAAAAGUUCUUUGGAAUAGGACAUCAUAGAGGGUGAGAAUCCCGUAUUUGACCUUUACUUUCAACUUUGUGAUACACUUUCAAAGAGUCGGAUUGUUUGGGAAUGCAGUCCAAAAUGGGUGGUAAAUUUCAUCUAAAGCUAAAUAUUGGCGAGAGACCGAUAGCGAACAAGUACCGUGAGGGAAAGAUGAAAAGAACCUUGAAAAGAGAGUUAAACAGUACGUGAAAUUGUCAAAAGGGAAGCGUUUGACACCAGUGUUGUUUUUCUGAAAAUCAAUUAAAGAACUGUUUAUGCUAAGUUGUUUAGACUUUAUCAGCUAACUGUUUAGUUUUGAGCUUUUCUUUAAUGCACUUUUCAGUUAACAAGUCAACAGCAAUUUCUUUUGCUGUAAAAAAGCUUGAGGAAGGUGGCUUGAGAUUCGUCUUAAGUGUUUAUAGCCUCUUGCCUAUGCAGUCGGAGAGAUUGAGGUCUGCAGCGUAGAUCCUUCGGGGCUAAAUGCAUUUGUGCUAAGUUAUAGCAUUUUCAUAGACAACUUGUUGACUAUGAUCAGUCAUGUAGCUUACUCGCUUAUGCUAUUUUACCUACGCUUAGGAUGUUGACGAUCAGCUGAGCGCG
This 775-nucleotide ribosomal RNA is filed under the name uncultured Neocallimastigales. Its description in RNAcentral is "partial large subunit ribosomal RNA". It matches the Rfam family "Eukaryotic large subunit ribosomal RNA", at positions 24 to 633 of the family's 3401-position model. Lineage: Eukaryota; Fungi; Neocallimastigomycota; Neocallimastigomycetes; Neocallimastigales. The record is from RNAcentral.